CUACGUGCCAGCAGCCGCGGUAAUACGGAGGGUGCGAGCGUUAAUCGGAAUAACUGGGCGUAAAGGGCACGCAGGCGGUGACUUAAGUGAGGUGUGAAAGCCCCGGGCUUAACCUGGGAAUUGCAUUUCAUACUGGGUCGCUAGAGUACUUUAGGGAGGGGUAGAAUUCCACGUGUAGCGGUGAAAUGCGUAGAGAUGUGGAGGAAUACCGAAGGCGAAGGCAGCCCCUUGGGAAUGUACUGACGCUGAGGAGCGAAAGCGUGGGGAGCGAACAGGAUUAGAUACCCUGGUAGUCCACGCCGUAAACGUUGGGCACUAGGUGUGAGGCUCCUUUCCGGGGGUUUUGCGCCGUAGCUAACGCAUUAAGUGCCCCGCCUGGGGAGUACGGCCGCAAGGCUAAAACUCAAAGGAAUUGACGGGGGCCCGCACAAGCGGCGGAGCAUGCGGAUUAAUUCGAUGCAACGCGAAGAACCUUACCAAGGCUUGACAUGUUAACCGUGGCUCUAGAGAUAGG
This 514-nucleotide ribosomal RNA is filed under the name uncultured bacterium. RNAcentral's name for it is "bacterial SSU rRNA". It matches the Rfam family "Bacterial small subunit ribosomal RNA", at positions 501 to 1010 of the family's 1533-position model. The record is from RNAcentral.